AUUGAACGCUGGCGGCAGGCCUUACACAUGCAAGUCGAGCGGUUGAAGGGCGCUUGGUCCUGGCUUCAGCGGCGGACGGGUGUGUAAUGCCUAGGAAUCUGCCUGGGAGUGGGGGAUAACGUCGGGAAACGGGCGCAAAUACCGCAUACGCUCUGAGGGAGAACGGGGGGGAACUCCGCACUGCACGGCCUCAGACGACCGGAGGGCGCAUUGUCGGAUUGGGUAGUUGGUGGGGUAAAGGCCUACCAAUGCGACGAUCCGUAGCUGGUCUGAGAGGAUGAUCAGUCACACUGGAACUGAGACACGGUCCAGACUCCUACGGGAGGCAGCAGUGGGGAAUAUUGGACAAAGGGCGAAAGCCUGAUCCAGCCAUGCCGCGUGUGUGAAGAAGGUCUUCGGAUUGUAAAGCACUUUAAGUUGGGAGGAAGGGCAGUAAGUUAAUACCUUGCUGUUUUGACGUUACCAACAGAAUAAGCACCGGCUAACUUCGUG
This 492-nucleotide ribosomal RNA is filed under the name uncultured bacterium. RNAcentral describes it as "partial 16S ribosomal RNA". It matches the Rfam family "Bacterial small subunit ribosomal RNA", at positions 30 to 507 of the family's 1533-position model. The record is from RNAcentral.